GUCACUUUGCCGGAGUGGUUAACGGGAUGCCCUGCUAUACACCAAUGGAUAUGCAAAAUAGCUAGUUAGGCAUUGCUCUUUGAGCGCGUGUGUUCGAAUCGCACAGGUGACG
Molecule: non-coding RNA, 112 nt
Organism: Fistulina hepatica ATCC 64428
Lineage: Eukaryota; Fungi; Basidiomycota; Agaricomycetes; Agaricales; Fistulinaceae
Source: the annotation of a GenBank genome assembly